ACGCUCGACACCUACGGGAGGCNGCAGUAGGGAAUCUUCCACAAUGGGCGCAAGCCUGAUGGAGCAACACCGCGUGAGUGAAGAAGGGUUUCGGCUCGUAAAGCUCUGUUGUUGGAGAAGAACGUGCGUGAGAGUAACUGUUCACGCAGUGACGGUAUCCAACCAGAAAGUCACGGCUAACUACGUACCAGCAGCCGCGGUAAUCUGAGCGGGCUGGCAAGGC
RNAcentral lists this ribosomal RNA (223 nucleotides) under uncultured bacterium. RNAcentral describes it as "partial 16S ribosomal RNA". It matches the Rfam family "Bacterial small subunit ribosomal RNA", at positions 328 to 539 of the family's 1533-position model. The record is from RNAcentral.